This 476-nucleotide long non-coding RNA is filed under the name Calidris pugnax (ruff). Its description in RNAcentral is "lncRNA (ENSCPUG00000002701.1)". Lineage: Eukaryota; Metazoa; Chordata; Aves; Charadriiformes; Scolopacidae. The record is from RNAcentral.
GAAGGACCCUGGGAGAUGCAGGCGCUAGUGCAGGGAUGCUGCUGCGGAGAGAGGGACGGUCCCAUCUCCAACAGCGGUCUCUCUGGUGCCACGUGCAGGGGCCAGCGUACAACAGGCACACCCUUCCCGGAGAGACCGAGCCUGUGGAGCACGCCAAGGAGAUCCUGAUCCUCCGGCACAAAAGCCUGCGGAUGGAAGUGAGUGGAGGCGACGCGGCCAGCUCCGGUAAGGAGAAGGAUGACUCCAAUUCAGCGCAGGGCGACUCCAGCGUGCAGCCCAAGCUGUGCCGCUCCUUCACCGUGGGAAAUGCAGAAAACGUUCGGGAGGUGAAACAGAACCGGUCGAAGUCAGUGUGUGUCAUCCCACCGCGGCAGCCCAGCGCUGGGCUUCUCACCCCCUGGGGUAAGAAGAAAGAGAUAGAGAAAGAGCUGACUUUGAAGACAAAAAGCACGAGUGCUGCUGCUGACUUCCCAUGA